GCUCCGGUAGCUCAGCGGAAGAGCGCCCCCGACGUUCGAGGGGGAAGCCGCCGGUUCGAAUCCGGCCCGGAGCA
Molecule: transfer RNA, 74 nt
Filed under: Lomovskayavirus BT1
Lineage: Duplodnaviria; Heunggongvirae; Uroviricota; Caudoviricetes; Colingsworthviridae
Description: Streptomyces phage phiBT1 tRNA
Rfam family: tRNA
About the family: Transfer RNA (tRNA) molecules are approximately 80 nucleotides in length. Their secondary structure includes four short double-helical elements and three loops (D, anti-codon, and T loops). Further hydrogen bonds mediate the characteristic L-shaped molecular structure. tRNAs have two regions of fundamental functional importance: the anti-codon, which is responsible for specific mRNA codon recognition, and the 3' end, to which the tRNAs corresponding amino acid is attached (by aminoacyl-tRNA synthetases). tRNAs cope with the degeneracy of the genetic code in two manners: having more than one tRNA (with a specific anti-codon) for a particular amino acid; and 'wobble' base-pairing, i.e. permitting non-standard base-pairing at the 3rd anti-codon position.
Source: Rfam by way of RNAcentral